CCCCUAGAUGUUCUGGGCCGCACGCGCGCUACACUGAACAGUUCAACAAGUCUUAACCUUGGCCGAUAGGUCUGGGUAAUCUUUGAACGCUGUUCGUGAUUGGGAUAGACCUUUGCAAUUAUGGGUCUUCAACGAGGAAUUCCUAGUAAACGCAAGUCAUCAGCUUGCAUUGAUUACGUCCCUGCCCUUUGUACACACCGCCCGUCGCACCUACCGAUUGAAUGGUCCGGUGAAAUCUCGGGACGGCGGCUUGGUCGCUUGCGUCCGACUGCUGAAACUUGAUUAAACCAUAUCAUUUAGAGGAAGUAAAAGUCGUANCA
Molecule: ribosomal RNA, 320 nt
Filed under: uncultured eukaryote
Lineage: Eukaryota
Description: partial 18S ribosomal RNA
Rfam family: Eukaryotic small subunit ribosomal RNA
Source: RNAcentral